Molecule: ribosomal RNA, 253 nt
Filed under: uncultured bacterium
Lineage: Bacteria
Description: partial 16S ribosomal RNA
Rfam family: Bacterial small subunit ribosomal RNA
Source: RNAcentral
UACGUAGGGUGCAAGCGUUGUCCGGAAUUAUUGGGCGUAAAGAGCUCGUAGGCGGUUUGUCGCGUCUGCUGUGAAAACUCGGGGCUCAACUCCGAGCUUGCAGUGGGUACGGGCAGACUAGAGUGCGGUAGGGGAGACUGGAAUUCCUGGUGUAGCGGUGGAAUGCGCAGAUAUCAGGAGGAACACCGGUGGCGAAGGCGGGUCUCUGGGCCGUAACUGACGUUCAGGUACGAAAGCGUGGGGAGCAAACAGG